RNAcentral lists this ribosomal RNA (301 nucleotides) under uncultured bacterium. RNAcentral's name for it is "partial 16S ribosomal RNA". It matches the Rfam family "Bacterial small subunit ribosomal RNA", at positions 509 to 807 of the family's 1533-position model. The record is from RNAcentral.
CAGUCGCCGCGGUAAUACGAGGGGGGCAAGCGUUGUUCGGAUUUAUUGGGCGUAAAGGGUGCGUAGGCGGUUUGGCAAGUUUGGUGUGAAAUCUUCGGGCUCAACUCGAAGUCUGCAUGGGAAACUGUCGGGCUUGAGUAUGGGAGAGGUGAGUGGAAUUUCCGGUGUAGCGGUGAAAUGCGUAGAUAUCGGAAGGAACACCUGUGGCGAAAGCGGCUCACUGGACCAUAACUGACGCUGAGGCACGAAAGCUAGGGGAGCAAACAGGAUUAGAGACCCCAGUAGUCCCUGUCUCUUAUAC